This 587-nucleotide ribosomal RNA is filed under the name uncultured bacterium. Its description in RNAcentral is "bacterial SSU rRNA". It matches the Rfam family "Bacterial small subunit ribosomal RNA", at positions 153 to 719 of the family's 1533-position model. The record is from RNAcentral.
GAAAGGACUGCUAAUACCGCAUACGUCGGCUGAUUCUGCGGAAUCGGCCGGGAAAGCUAGGGAUCUUCGGACCUGGCACUGAUGGAGGGGCCCGCGGCGCAUCAGCUUGUUGGUGGGGUAACGGCCUACCAAGGCGAAGACGCGUAGCUGGUCUGAGAGGAUGAUCAGCCACACUGGGACUGAGACACGGCCCAGACUCCUACGGGAGGCAGCAGUGGGGAAUAUUGGACAAUGGGGGCAACCCUGAUCCAGCCAUCCCGCGUGAGUGAUGAAGGCCCUCGGGUCGUAAAGCUCUGUGGAGAGGGACGAACGUCCGUACGUUAAUAGCGUGCGGGGUGACGGUACCUCUUUAGCAAGCACCGGCUAACUCCGUGCCAGCAGCCGCGGUAAUACGGAGGGUGCAAACGUUGCUCGGAAUUAUUGGGCGUAAAGCGCUCGUAGGCGGUUUCGUAAGUCGGAUGUGAAAGCCCUAGGCUUAACCAANGGAAGUGCAUUCGAAACUGUGAGACUUGAGUAUGGGAGAGGGUUGUGGAAUUCCCGGUGUAGAGGUGAAAUUCGUAGAUAUCGGGAGGAACACCAGAGGCGAA